UGAAAACUAAAAGUAAAAUAGAAACAUGGGUCACGAAAAACAUGCAGGGGCGAUAUCAGAGAGUGAAGAGAACUUGCUUCUUGCAAGACACUUUCCGUGAAAACAAUUCAGGUUGAUAUGAAGACAAUCUUGUUUCAUUAUUAUUUUUUUUUUUUUUUUUUUUGAAAUUUCCAACAUGAGGCAUUUGCCUCAUUUGCCUCCAUGUAGUUACGGCCCUGUAUUAUGAGGGGUACACUUCAACAAUAUUCAAGUGAUAUGAAAAAAAAUAUUGUAAAAAUCACAUAGUACAAAUGUGCACA
This 299-nucleotide long non-coding RNA is filed under the name Mytilus galloprovincialis (Mediterranean mussel). The record is from RNAcentral. Lineage: Eukaryota; Metazoa; Mollusca; Bivalvia; Mytilida; Mytilidae.